GACGAACGCUGGCGGCGUGCUUAACACAUGCAAGUCGAACGGAAAGGCCCUGCUUUUGUGGGGUGCUCGAGUGGCGAACGGGUGAGUAACACGUGAGUAACCUGCCCUUGACUUUGGGAUAACUUCAGGAAACUGGGGCUAAUACCGGAUAGGAGCUCCUGCUGCAUGGUGGGGGUUGGAAAGUUUCGGCGGUUGGGGAUGGACUCGCGGCUUAUCAGCUUGUUGGUGGGGUAGUGGCUUACCAAGGCUUUGACGGGUAGCCGGCCUGAGAGGGUGACCGGCCACGUUGGGGUUGGGGUUGAGCCCACUCUUCAUGGGGAGGCAACAGUGGGGAAUUGUUCACAUCGGGCUGAGGCUUAUUCGGGCACCGCCGCGUGCGGGAAGGCGGCUUUUGGGUAGUAAACCGAUUUCCGCUGUGACGAAGGUUAGGUGACGGUAAUGGGUAAAGAAACAACGGACAACCUCGU
Molecule: ribosomal RNA, 467 nt
Filed under: uncultured bacterium
Lineage: Bacteria
Description: partial 16S ribosomal RNA
Rfam family: Bacterial small subunit ribosomal RNA
Source: RNAcentral